This 443-nucleotide ribosomal RNA is filed under the name uncultured bacterium. RNAcentral's name for it is "partial 16S ribosomal RNA". It matches the Rfam family "Bacterial small subunit ribosomal RNA", at positions 338 to 795 of the family's 1533-position model. The record is from RNAcentral.
CCUACGGGAGGCUGCAGUGGGGAAUAUUGGGCAAUGGGCGCAAGCCUGACCCAGCAACGCCGCGUGAAGGAAGAAGGCUUUCGGGUUGUAAACUUCUUUUCUCAGGGACGAAGCAAGUGACGGUACCAGAGAAAAAAAAAACAGCAAAAUACGUGCAAGCAGCCGCGGUAAUACGUAGGUGGCAAGAGUUAUCCGGAUUUCCUGUUGUGAAGGGGCGUGUAAGCGGGAAAGCAAGUCAGAUGUGAAAACCAUGGGCUCAACCUGUGGCCUGCAUUUGAAACUGUUUUUCUUGAGUACUGGAGAGGCAGACGGAAUUCCUAGUGUAGCGGUGAAAUGCGGAGAUAUUAGGAGGAACACCAGGGGCGAAGGCGGUCUGCUGGACAGCAACUGACGCUGAGGCGCGAAAGCGUGGGGAGCAAACAGGAUUAGAUACCCCAGUAGUC